This is an RNA transcript of Macadamia integrifolia, 1348 nucleotides long. It is a transcript of the gene named alcohol dehydrogenase-like 5, with no coding region annotated. Lineage: Eukaryota; Viridiplantae; Streptophyta; Magnoliopsida; Proteales; Proteaceae. The record is from RefSeq and is a predicted model, not a curated record. The transcript is spliced from 4 exons.
UUUUCGAUACUAAAGCCCUCUCAUCUUUCUUCUUCUCCUUUAUUUUCACAUGAUUCUUCUCUUUUCUCUUUCUUUGAUUAUUCUUCCGUAUGUUUUUUUUUUUGUGGACAUCAACAAUGAACCGAUACAAAGAUUGAUUGAGAUCGGUCAGGUCUGAACGAAACAGCAAAUGCAUACACUCAUUUGUCGUUACGUUCAGACCUAGACCGAUCUUGGUUAGUAUCUUCCAACCGUGUUCAGACCUAGACCGAUCUUGCCGCAGAUUGUAGAAAAGCAGGGAAGCCUUUAUAGAUUGAGGAGGUGGAGGUUGCUCCACCAAAAGCUUGGGAAGUUCACUCUUGUCACACUGAUGUAACUUUUUGGAAGAUGGAAAGUCCACCUGCAAUAUUUCCAACAAUAUUUGGACAUGAGGCUAUUGGGUAAACUCAAUAACUCAUUCCCAUUCCCCAAAGAAAAUAAACCCAAAUUUAUGUUUUGAUUCUAAUGGUCUCUUAAUCUGGGGAUGUGGAAUGAUCGUGGAAAUUGUUGGAGAAAAUGUAAAGGAAGUGAAGGAGGGAGACACUGUGAUUCCAGUAACCUUAACUGAUUGCCAGGAUUGCAUUGCAGAGACUGCAACUCAAAGAACAGUAACUAAUGCUCCAAAUUUCCUUUCAUGGUUUCCCUACCGUUGCCCAGAGACGGCACGACCCGAUUCACAGUUUCAAAAGGAGAGGUGGUUAACCAUUUUGUGUAUAUAUCUCCAGUUUUAGCGAGUACACUGUGGACAUUGCCAAUGUAAUCUAGAUAGACCUUCCAUUCCUCUUAACAGGGCAUGUCUACUUGGUUGUGGGAUUUCAACUGGUAAACAAAGAUCAAACCCAAAAUUUCCUGGAACCCGUUAAGAAUUUCUUCUUCUUCUUUUCCUUAUUUUAGAUUUAAAAAUUAAAAUAUGGGAAAAGUCUAAUUGCAGGGGUUGGAGCAGCUUGGAAAACUGCAAAUGUGGAAGCAGGGACCAGUGUGGCUAUAUUUGGCUUAGGAGCUAUUGGUUUAGCUGAGAUUGGAUUUGACGAGUUCGGGACACAAGAGGUGCAAUUUGAGGACAUCAAUAAAGCUUUUGAUUUACUCAUCAGUGGAAAGAGCAAUAGUUGUAUAAUUUGGAUGGACAAACAAACCCCUCCUCCCAUGUAAAUCAGAGAUCGAAGGAUGGUUUCCAACAUUUCAGAAACACAAUAUAUAAUAAGAGAUAUUUCAUUGUUUCCUCAAGGGGGGAUAAUAAGUGAGCAAACCAUCCUUCUUUAUCUUGAACCAAUGUAUCUUUGAAAAUUGAUUUCCAUUGGAUCUGAAUGAAUAAAUAGUAGUUUCCGAAAAA